GAGAGCAGUGCAGGAUCCUGGGCUGUGCCCUCUGGCGCCCUGGGCUCUGGGGCCUGCGCUGCUGGAAAGGUGCUCCCGGCCCCGGCUCCU
This 90-nucleotide microRNA precursor is filed under the name Canis lupus dingo (dingo). Its description in RNAcentral is "mir-8799 microRNA precursor family". It matches the Rfam family "mir-8799 microRNA precursor family". The record is from Rfam by way of RNAcentral. Lineage: Eukaryota; Metazoa; Chordata; Mammalia; Carnivora; Canidae.